UCAAAUAGCGUAGGGGGUAAAAUCCCAGCGUCUAUAUCCUCUGAUUAUAUACCUCUGUUGCUUUGGCGGACCGGGCGUCAUGCCCCGGCGGUCAGGUUCCCCUGCCUGCCGAGCGUCCGUCAGAGACCCCAUUAAACCCCUUAUAACUAUAUUGUCUGAAGAAAAACA
This 168-nucleotide unclassified non-coding RNA is filed under the name uncultured Ascomycota. The record is from RNAcentral. Lineage: Eukaryota; Fungi; Ascomycota.